CAAAGGGAACCACGAGCACAAGAGAGAGAUGGAGUGGUUUGAUUUUUGCUGGCCAUAAAGAAAACUCACUCUCUUCCUGCGAAGAAGAAGACGGUGAUGCUCAUCAGAGACAAUCCUGAACCGUCUGUUCCUCCGUUCGAUUUUUAAGUUGUUCGGUCAAAAUUGUUGCCAAUUUCGGUUUAGUUGGUUUACUUAAGUUUUUUUUUUUUUUUUUUUUUUUUUUGCUUACUUAUGGUGCUGUUUGUUUUCUUUCGCAUUAAGGGUAUUGUGACUUUUGGGUGGGUGAUGACGAUCAAUUGUCUUUUAAUUGGAUUUAAUUUGAUUUGGGGGUGAAAACCGGUCCAAAGCAAAUCUUUUUUGUUUUGGAGUCAAAUCCAGAGCAAAUAAAUCAAUUUAGGAUAAUAAAUCAAUCUAUAUUAAUAAGGCGUGCUGAGGAAUUAUGAUGGUCGGUCCUCCUCGAGUACAUUACAUAGCAGGGCUAACUUAGCGAAAGGGACUAGGGUUCUAGGGUUUGCGAAAGCAUGGAUAGGAUCAGCAUCCUACCAGACGAGAUAAUUUGCCACAUCGGGUCCUUCUUGUCGGCGAAAGAGGCGGCGCGGCGUUCACGGCACUUCUCUCGAAGAGGUGGAGGAAUCUGUUUGAAAGCCUGUUCCAUUUAUCAAUCCCAGCUGAACGAAGCAUAUGUUGGAACGGUUUGCAAGUUCUCCUAAAGAAAUCUCCAAAAUUUUAAGGCUCUCACCAUCAAGGGAAGUGUGCACGAUAAGGAUGAUGAUCGUGUGGAUGAGGAGGAAUCUGUUUGCGAAUGCUUGAAAGGGUAUACUUUCCUAUCGCCCUGCUAUAUUGAGGUCAUAAAGAUAAGAGAGUGUAAAGGAGAUAGAGGAGAGAUGGUGCAAAUAAAGCACAUGCUGGAGAAAUUGCCGUGUCUUGAACUUUUGGAAAUUCAUCUUAAGCCAGGCAGAGAUGAGACAAAGCUUCAGAUUAUGACGGAUCUCCUAACGAGUCGGAGAAGUUCGUCCAAGUCCAAAUACACAGUUAAGCUGGUGUCGUUUAAGGUGGUGUUACAUUGAACAACAUCUUAACAUGAACUGGCAUAUCUGAAUAGAGAAGAAACAAAGGUGCAAUUAGUACUUUGCUUCCCGUUUGUUGUUGACAUAUGAUAAUUGGUUUGGUUUUGUGUCUUUCUUUCCCCAUAUCUGAGACUGAGAGACUCUGUUCUGAAUCGAACACAACGUAUCGUUUUUAUUCA
Camelina sativa (false flax) is the source of this 1246-nucleotide long non-coding RNA. RefSeq lists it as uncharacterized. The record is from RefSeq and is a predicted model, not a curated record. Lineage: Eukaryota; Viridiplantae; Streptophyta; Magnoliopsida; Brassicales; Brassicaceae.